UGAUGACGAGACGCUAAGGCGUUGAAGCAGUGUAUGUCAGACUUCCAAGAAAAGCUCGCAAUGUCACAGAUAAAAAAUGCCUGUACCAUAACCGACACAGGUGGGUAGGUAGAGUAUACUAAGGGGCGCGAGAUAACUCUCUCUAAGGAACUCGGCAAAAUGACUCCGUAACUUCGGGAGAAGGAGUGCCUUAUUUAUAAGGUUGCAAUAACAAGAUCCAAGCAACUGUUUAUCAAAAACACAGGUCUCCGCUAAGUCGUAAGACGAUGUAUGGGGGCUGACGCCUGCCCAGUGCCAGAAGGUUAAAGAAGUUGGUUAGUGUAUGCGAAGCCGAUGACUGAAGCCCUGGUGAACGGCGGCCGUAACUAUAACGGUCCUAAGGUAGCGAAAUUCCUUGUCGGGUAAGUUCCGACCCGCACGAAAGGCGUAAUGAUUUGGAUACUGUCUCGGAGAGAGGCUCGGUGAAAUAGACUUGUCUGUGAAGAUGCGGACUACCUGCACCAGGACAGAAAGACCCUAUGAAGCUUUACUGUAACUUGAAAUUGGAAUUGGACUUUGCUUGCGCAGUAUAGGUGGGAAGCGUUGAAAAUAUUCUUGCGGGAGUAUUGGAGCUAUCAGUGAGAUACCACUCUUGUAAUGUUAGAUUUCUAACUUUGAACCAUAAUCUGGUCAAAGAACAGUUUCAGGUGGGCACUUUGACUGGGGCGGUCGCCUCCCAAAUGGUAACGGAGGCGUACAAAGGUUUCCUCUGAACGGAUAGAAAUCGUAUCUAGAGUGUAAAGGCAUAAGGAAGCUUGACUGUGAGACCUACAAGUCGAGCAGGGACGAAAGUCGGUCUUAGUGAUCUGACGGUACUGAGUGGAAAGGCCGUCACUCAACGGAUAAAAGUUACUCUAAGGAUAACAGGCUGAUCUCCCCCAAGAGUUCACAUCGACGGGGAGGUUUGGCACCUCGAUGUCGGCUCAUCGCAUCCUGGGGCGGUAGUACGUCCCAAGGGUUGGGCUAUUCGCCCAUGAAAGCGGUACGCGAGCUGGGUUCAGAACGUCGUGAGACAGUUCGGUCCAUAUCCGGUGUAGGCGCUAGAAUAUUGAGAGGAGCCUUCUUUAGUACGAGAGGACCGAGAAGGACACACCGCUGGUGUACCAGUUAUCGUGCCAACGGUAAACGCUGGGUAGCUAUGUGUGGAGUGGAUAACCGCUGAAAGCAUCUAAGUGGGAAGCCCACCUCGAGAUGAGUAUUCUCAUAAA
This 1247-nucleotide ribosomal RNA is filed under the name metagenome. RNAcentral describes it as "bacterial LSU rRNA". It matches the Rfam family "Bacterial large subunit ribosomal RNA", at positions 1564 to 2820 of the family's 2925-position model. The record is from RNAcentral.